Molecule: non-coding RNA, 163 nt
Organism: Bemisia tabaci
Lineage: Eukaryota; Metazoa; Arthropoda; Insecta; Hemiptera; Aleyrodidae
Source: RefSeq, a predicted model, not a curated record
AAAAAAAGCAAAUAAACAAUCGCAAUCCGUUUCCUCAAUGAUUCGACAUUAAUGCAUUUGAAUAUGGUUAUAUUUGUGAGUACAGAGAUUUAAGGCAGUCAGUCAUUUCCCUUCAGAGAUCUCGGUGCUGUAAGUACUGUCCUUACGAUUAGCAUUACACGAA